Molecule: ribosomal RNA, 377 nt
Filed under: uncultured bacterium
Lineage: Bacteria
Description: bacterial SSU rRNA
Rfam family: Bacterial small subunit ribosomal RNA
Source: RNAcentral
UACGUAGGGGGCGAGCGUUGUCCGGAGUUACUGGGCGUAAAGCGCACGCAGGCGGUCUGCUAAGUUUGGAGUGACAGUUGGUGGCUCAACCACCAAAGUGCUUCGAAAACUGACAGACUUGAGGACUUCAGAGGGACACGGAAUUCCGGGUGGAGUGGUGAAAUGCGUAGAGAUCCGGAGGAACACCGAAGGCGAAGGCAGUGUCCUGGGGAGUACCUGACGCUCAGGUGCGAAAGCUAGGGGAGCGAACGGGAUUAGAUACCCCGGUAGUCCUAGCCGUAAACGAUGACCACUAGAUGUAUGGGGUAUCGACCCCCUAUGUGUCGUAAGCAAACGCGAUAAGUGGUCCGCCUGGGGAGUACGGUCGCAAGAUUAAA